GAUAAACGCUGGCGGCGUGCCUAAUACAUGCAAGUCGAACGGGAUUGGUUGAACGCAAGUGAUGCCAGUCUAGUGGCGGACGGCUGAGUAACGCGUGGGUGACCUGCCCUGAAGUGGGGAAUAACGGUUCGAAAGAAUCGCUAAAACCGCAUGUGGUCGUGGCUUCGUUGUUACGACUAAAACCGCAAGGUGCUUCGGGAGGGGCCUGCGUCCGAUUAGCUUGUUGGUGGGGUAAUGGCCUACCAAGGCUACGAUCGGUAGCUGGUCUGAGAGGAUGAUCAGCCAGACUGGGACUGAGAACGGCCCAGACUCCUACGGGAGGCUG
This 325-nucleotide ribosomal RNA is filed under the name uncultured Chloroflexota bacterium. Its description in RNAcentral is "bacterial SSU rRNA". It matches the Rfam family "Bacterial small subunit ribosomal RNA", at positions 28 to 351 of the family's 1533-position model. The record is from RNAcentral. Lineage: Bacteria; Bacillati; Chloroflexota.